This 1530-nucleotide ribosomal RNA is filed under the name Salmonella enterica subsp. enterica serovar Sanjuan. RNAcentral describes it as "bacterial SSU rRNA". It matches the Rfam family "Bacterial small subunit ribosomal RNA". Lineage: Bacteria; Pseudomonadati; Pseudomonadota; Gammaproteobacteria; Enterobacterales; Enterobacteriaceae. The record is from RNAcentral.
AGAGUUUGAUCAUGGCUCAGAUUGAACGCUGGCGGCAGGCCUAACACAUGCAAGUCGAACGGUAACAGGAAGCAGCUUGCUGCUUUGCUGACGAGUGGCGGACGGGUGAGUAAUGUCUGGGAAACUGCCUGAUGGAGGGGGAUAACUACUGGAAACGGUGGCUAAUACCGCAUAACGUCGCAAGACCAAAGAGGGGGACCUUCGGGCCUCUUGCCAUCAGAUGUGCCCAGAUGGGAUUAGCUUGUUGGUGAGGUAAUGGCUCACCAAGGCGACGAUCCCUAGCUGGUCUGAGAGGAUGACCAGCCACACUGGAACUGAGACACGGUCCAGACUCCUACGGGAGGCAGCAGUGGGGAAUAUUGCACAAUGGGCGCAAGCCUGAUGCAGCCAUGCCGCGUGUAUGAAGAAGGCCUUCGGGUUGUAAAGUACUUUCAGCGGGGAGGAAGGUGUUGUGGUUAAUAACCGCAGCAAUUGACGUUACCCGCAGAAGAAGCACCGGCUAACUCCGUGCCAGCAGCCGCGGUAAUACGGAGGGUGCAAGCGUUAAUCGGAAUUACUGGGCGUAAAGCGCACGCAGGCGGUCUGUCAAGUCGGAUGUGAAAUCCCCGGGCUCAACCUGGGAACUGCAUUCGAAACUGGCAGGCUUGAGUCUUGUAGAGGGGGGUAGAAUUCCAGGUGUAGCGGUGAAAUGCGUAGAGAUCUGGAGGAAUACCGGUGGCGAAGGCGGCCCCCUGGACAAAGACUGACGCUCAGGUGCGAAAGCGUGGGGAGCAAACAGGAUUAGAUACCCUGGUAGUCCACGCCGUAAACGAUGUCUACUUGGAGGUUGUGCCCUUGAGGCGUGGCUUCCGGAGCUAACGCGUUAAGUAGACCGCCUGGGGAGUACGGCCGCAAGGUUAAAACUCAAAUGAAUUGACGGGGGCCCGCACAAGCGGUGGAGCAUGUGGUUUAAUUCGAUGCAACGCGAAGAACCUUACCUGGUCUUGACAUCCACGGAAGUUUUCAGAGAUGAGAAUGUGCCUUCGGGAACCGUGAGACAGGUGCUGCAUGGCUGUCGUCAGCUCGUGUUGUGAAAUGUUGGGUUAAGUCCCGCAACGAGCGCAACCCUUAUCCUUUGUUGCCAGCGAUUAGGUCGGGAACUCAAAGGAGACUGCCAGUGAUAAACUGGAGGAAGGUGGGGAUGACGUCAAGUCAUCAUGGCCCUUACGACCAGGGCUACACACGUGCUACAAUGGCGCAUACAAAGAGAAGCGACCUCGCGAGAGCAAGCGGACCUCAUAAAGUGCGUCGUAGUCCGGAUUGGAGUCUGCAACUCGACUCCAUGAAGUCGGAAUCGCUAGUAAUCGUGGAUCAGAAUGCCACGGUGAAUACGUUCCCGGGCCUUGUACACACCGCCCGUCACACCAUGGGAGUGGGUUGCAAAAGAAGUAGGUAGCUUAACCUUCGGGAGGGCGCUUACCACUUUGUGAUUCAUGACUGGGGUGAAGUCGUAACAAGGUAACCGUAGGGGAACCUGCGGUUGGAUCACCU